AUACCAAUUUAUUGCGGGCAAUGGCUGCUCCGAGAAUAUGUGGCCUAAUGGCUAUCCUGUAAGAACAAACUACGGAUUUAUAUGAAUUCAGCACCCCCGGGAUAUGGUUUUCGGGUUUUCACCACAAGAGCAAAUUAUACAACUUUAUUCUUGAAAAUGUUAGAGACUGAGACUUGGAGUCAAAGUCAACAGACACGCUUGCAUGGACAUGAAGGAUGUAAAGAACUAGAGUAUUAUAACUGAAAGCAUUUUGUCUGGAUUUGUGUAUGGAAACAGAAGGAUUUAGUAUUGGUAAGUCAAGAUAGCUGUAAAAUCUCAUUUUGAACUCUAUAUGUGAGCAGUACUGU
This is a long non-coding RNA of Saccostrea cuccullata (small rock oyster), 347 nucleotides long. RefSeq lists it as uncharacterized. Lineage: Eukaryota; Metazoa; Mollusca; Bivalvia; Ostreida; Ostreidae. The transcript is spliced from 3 exons. The record is from RefSeq and is a predicted model, not a curated record.